RNAcentral lists this ribosomal RNA (550 nucleotides) under uncultured bacterium. Its description in RNAcentral is "bacterial SSU rRNA". It matches the Rfam family "Bacterial small subunit ribosomal RNA", at positions 355 to 896 of the family's 1533-position model. The record is from RNAcentral.
UAGGGAAUCUUCGGCAAUGGACGGAAGUCUGACCGAGCAACGCCGCGUGAGUGAAGAAGGUUUUCGGAUCGUAAAGCUCUGUUGUAAGAGAAGAACGAGUGUGAGAGUGGAAAGUUCACACUGUGACGGUAUCUUACCAGAAAGGGACGGCUAACUACGUGCCAGCAGCCGCGGUAAUACGUAGGUCCCGAGCGUUGUCCGGAUUUAUUGGGCGUAAAGCGAGCGCAGGCGGUUAGAUAAGUCUGAAGUUAAAGGCUGUGGCUUAACCAUAGUAGGCUUUGGAAACUGUUUAACUUGAGUGUAAGAGGGGAGAGUGGAAUUCCAUGUGUAGCGGUGAAAUGCGUAGAUAUAUGGAGGAACACCGGUGGCGAAAGCGGCUCUCUGGCUUGUAACUGACGCUGAGGCUCGAAAGCGUGGGGAGCAAACAGGAUUAGAUACCCUGGUAGUCCACGCCGUAAACGAUGAGUGCUAGGUGUUAGACCCUUUCCGGGGUUUAGUGCCGUAGCUAACGCAUUAAGCACUCCGCCUGGGGAGUACGACCGCAAGGUUG